Molecule: small nucleolar RNA, 154 nt
Organism: Telopea speciosissima
Lineage: Eukaryota; Viridiplantae; Streptophyta; Magnoliopsida; Proteales; Proteaceae
Product: small nucleolar RNA snoR143
Exons: 1
Source: RefSeq, a predicted model, not a curated record
CUGUUUUCUUAGGUCUUUCUAAUUCCAGUAGUGUGGCCUUGAGCUAAGGUGCAAAGUAAAAGCUGUUUACCAGCAGUGGCCAGACAACCAUAGAGAUGAAUCCACAGAUGAGUGGUUGAAAAUGUUACUUGUCUACUGAUUUCAUCUCACAUCU